UCCAAGUCUUUUGAUGGACAUGCAAGCGGA
RNAcentral lists this non-coding RNA (30 nucleotides) under Rattus norvegicus (Norway rat). Lineage: Eukaryota; Metazoa; Chordata; Mammalia; Rodentia; Muridae. The record is from RNAcentral.